ACUCCUACGGGAGGCAGCAGUGGGGAAUAUUGCACAAUGGGCGCAAGCCUGAUGCAGCCAUGCCGCGUGUAUGAAGAAGGCCUUCGGGUUGUAAAGUACUUUCAGCAGUGAGGAAGGUGGGUAUGUUAANGCAUACCAUUUGACGUUAGCUGCAGAAGAAGCACCGGCUAACUCCGUGCCAGCAGCCGCGGUAAUACGGAGGGUGCGAGCGUUAAUCGGAAUUACUGGGCGUAAAGCGCAUGCAGGUGGUUUGUUAAGUCAGAUGUGAAAGCCCGGGGCUCAACCUCGGAAUUGCAUUUUGAAAACNGGCAAAACUAGAGUACUGUAGAGGGGGGGUGGAAUUUCAGUGUGCGGUAAAUGCGUAAAGAUCUGAAGGAAUACCGGUGGCGAAGGCGCCCCCUGGANAGAUACUGACACUCAGAUGCGAAAGCGUGGGGAGCAAAACAGGUUAGAUACCCUGGUA
This 463-nucleotide ribosomal RNA is filed under the name uncultured bacterium. Its description in RNAcentral is "bacterial SSU rRNA". It matches the Rfam family "Bacterial small subunit ribosomal RNA", at positions 335 to 792 of the family's 1533-position model. The record is from RNAcentral.